This 253-nucleotide ribosomal RNA is filed under the name uncultured bacterium. RNAcentral's name for it is "partial 16S ribosomal RNA". It matches the Rfam family "Bacterial small subunit ribosomal RNA", at positions 524 to 776 of the family's 1533-position model. The record is from RNAcentral.
UACGGGGGGGGCAAGCGUUGUUCGGAAUUACUGGGCGUAAAGGGCUCGUAGGCGGCCAACUAAGUCAGACGUGAAAUCCCUCGGCUUAACCGGGGAACUGCGUCUGAUACUGGAUGGCUUGAGUUCGGGAGAGGGAUGCGGAAUUCCAGGUGUAGCGGUGAAAUGCGUAGAUAUCAUCUGGAACGCCAAUGGUGAAAACAGCUCGCUGGGGGUUUGCAGACGCUGAGACACGAAAGCCAGGGGAGCGAACGGG